This 71-nucleotide transfer RNA is filed under the name Marmota monax (woodchuck). RNAcentral's name for it is "tRNA.Ala". The stretch from base 6 to 66 matches the Rfam family "tRNA", at positions 6 to 65 of the family's 71-position model. Rfam says of the family: Transfer RNA (tRNA) molecules are approximately 80 nucleotides in length. Lineage: Eukaryota; Metazoa; Chordata; Mammalia; Rodentia; Sciuridae. The record is from RNAcentral.
GGGGUUGUGGCUCAGUGAUAGAGCACUCACCUAGCCAGUGAGAGGCCCUGGGUUCGAUCCUCAGCACUACA